RNAcentral lists this transfer-messenger RNA (350 nucleotides) under Deltaproteobacteria bacterium. It matches the Rfam family "transfer-messenger RNA". Rfam says of the family: Bacterial tmRNA, also known as 10Sa RNA or SsrA, is named for its dual tRNA and mRNA-like properties. Its role is to liberate the mRNA from a stalled ribosome. To accomplish this part of the tmRNA is used as a reading frame that ends in a translation stop signal. Lineage: Bacteria; Pseudomonadati; Myxococcota; Myxococcia. RNAcentral also lists the same sequence under 1 other name. The record is from RNAcentral.
GGGGGCGUUUUGGCUUCGACGGGUGCGUAGAUUUCUACUCUGCAUGUCGAGGUGUCAGUGAUCUCGUAACCUCAUUGGCAAACUAUAAACGACGAAUCUAACUUCGCGUUGGCAGCCUAAGCGCUGCUCGUCGAUUCGAUCCGACUCCUGCUAAGUUCGGACGGCGUUAAAAAAGCAGGGAUGUUCUCACGCAGAGCUUCGGUGUGUGAUGAGCAUUAAUAUCCGCAGCUCGAACUAAGAUUAUCCCGUUCUUCGGAGCUUCUUAGUUUUAAAUUAAAGGAAGAACUACACAUGAAGAUGGGUAGAGAGAAGCCACUCGGACGCGGGUUCGACUCCCGCCGCCUCCACUC